UUUCCGUAGGUGAACCUGCGGAAGGAUCAUUAUUGUAUACCCGAGGUGCGAGGGCUGUCGCUGACCCGAAAGGUCGUGCACGCCCGAGUGCCCUCACACACAUCCAUCUCACCCCUAUGUGCACCACCGCGUGGGUCCCCCUUUGGCUUGUUCGGAGGGGGGCUUACGUUUUCACACAAACUUUGUAUGCAGUGUAGAAUGUAUCUUUUGUUUUUGCGAUCACGCAAUCAAUACAACUUUCAACAACGGAUCUCUUGGCUCUC
This 263-nucleotide unclassified non-coding RNA is filed under the name plant metagenome. Its description in RNAcentral is "partial contains small subunit ribosomal RNA, internal transcribed spacer 1, and 5.8S ribosomal RNA". The record is from RNAcentral.